Molecule: ribosomal RNA, 463 nt
Filed under: uncultured bacterium
Lineage: Bacteria
Description: partial 16S ribosomal RNA
Rfam family: Bacterial small subunit ribosomal RNA
Source: RNAcentral
GACGAACGCUGGCGGCGUGCUUAACACAUGCAAGUCGAACGGUGACCCUCUUCGGAGGGGCUCAGUGGCGUACGGGUGAGUAACACGUGGGCAACCUGCCCCCGGCUCUGUGAUAACUCCAAGAUAUUGUGGCUAAUACCGGACGUUCACCGCUUCCCGCAUGGGUGGUGGUGGAAAGGGUUUCCGGCUCUGGCUGGGCGGGCGGCUUAUCAGCUUGUUGGUGGGGUAGUGGCCUACCAAGGCGACGGCGGAUAGGCGACCUGGGAGGGGGACCAGCCACACGGGGACUGAGAGAGGGACCAGACUGCAACGGGAGGCAGCAGGGGGGAAUAUUGCGCAAUGGGCGGAAGACUGACACAGAGACGCCGCGUGGGGGAUGACGGCCUUCGGGUUGUAAACCGCAGUCGGCAAAGACGAAGCGCAAGUGACGGUACCUGAAGAAGAAGCACCGGCCAACUACGUG